UCUUUCUUAGUUUAAGUUUUAAAAUUAUUAAUUGUGGUUUAAUAGAUAAAUGAAGGU
This 57-nucleotide transfer RNA is filed under the name Thelazia callipaeda (thelaziosis nematode). Its description in RNAcentral is "tRNA-His". Lineage: Eukaryota; Metazoa; Nematoda; Chromadorea; Rhabditida; Thelaziidae. The record is from RNAcentral.